GCCGCGGCCCGGGAGCCCCAGGCGCGCCUCCGCGUCGCGGCCUCCGGGGACCCUCCCAGGAGAGGCCCGCGCGCUCCCGGCCUCGAGGAAGCCCCGGCCGGCGCGGUAGGCGGGUUUCCUGAGAGGUGUGUGUGCAGGAGCACACUCUUCCCUCCGGGGAGGAGGAGGAGGAGGAGGAGGCGACUCCCGCGGCAGAGAAGAGUCCCGCGUCCUGGGUUCCGGGCACACCCAAACCGGACUUCAGCCUCAUGUCUACACUGCAUUUUUGGAGAAGCUGUGGCCUCUGACAGACAAGCAAGUGGAAGCCAGGGGAUCUGCAUCUGCUGGAACCUCAGGGCCAACUAACCCUGCCUGUCUGUUCUUUAAGGAUACUUGGACUUUGCUUGCUUGAGAUCAAGGAAUUGGAUUUUUUGAAAAUAAAUCCCAGAAAUGGAAAUUCACACUCAGUAUCUUGCACAAAUAUUUUAAUUUCUGAGUGGCCUGGGGUGAGCCAAGAGGAUAGGAUCCUUUGUGCCAUAGCCAUGGCGGAUCCUGAAAGAGCAGAAAACCUUCAGCUCAGGGUGGAAAGGCAAUAAUUUAGACACACAGAGAAAAUUCCCAGCUAGAAGGGGAAAAAAAA
Canis lupus familiaris (dog) is the source of this 619-nucleotide long non-coding RNA. RefSeq lists it as uncharacterized. The record is from RefSeq and is a predicted model, not a curated record. The transcript has 3 exons. NCBI's taxonomy places the organism in Eukaryota, Metazoa, Chordata, Mammalia, Carnivora, Canidae.